UACGUAGGGGGCAAGCGUUGUCCGGAAUCAUUGGGCGUAAAGAGCGUGUAGGCGGCUCGAUAAGUCCGCUGUGAAAGUCCAGGGCUCAACCCUGGAAGGCCGGUGGAAACUGUCGGGCUAGAGUCCGGAAGAGGCGAGUGGAAUUCCCGGUGUAGCGGUGAAAUGCGCAGAUAUCGGGAGGAACACCGGUGGCGAAGGCGGGUCUCUGGGCCGAUACUGACGCUGAGGAGCGAAAGCGUGGGGAGCGAACAGG
RNAcentral lists this ribosomal RNA (253 nucleotides) under uncultured bacterium. RNAcentral's name for it is "partial 16S ribosomal RNA". It matches the Rfam family "Bacterial small subunit ribosomal RNA", at positions 524 to 776 of the family's 1533-position model. The record is from RNAcentral.